AUCUCUUAGAUUGAACGCGGCGGCAGGCCUAACACAUGCAAGUCGAACGGUAACAGGAAGCAGCUUGCUGCUUUGCUGACGAGUGGCGGACGGGUGAGUAAUGUCUGGGAAACUGCCUGAUGGAGGGGGAUAACUACUGGAAACGGUGGCUAAUACCGCAUAACGUCGCAAGACCAAAGAGGGGGCCUUCGGGCCUCUUGCCAUCAGAUGUGCCCAGAUGGGAUUAGCUUGUUGGUGAGGUAACGGCUCACCAAGGCGACGAUCCCUAGCUGGUCUGAGAGGAUGACCAGCCACACUGGAACUGAGACACGGUCCAGACUCCUACGGGAGGCAGCAGUGGGGAAUAUUGCACAAUGGGCGCAAGCCUGAUGCAGCCAUGCCGCGUGUAUGAAGAAGGCCUUCGGGUUGUAAAGUACUUUCAGCGGGGAGGAAGGUGUUGUGGUUAAUAACCGCAGCAAUUGACGUUACCCGCAGAAGAAGCACCGGCUAACUCCGUGCCAGCAGCCGCGGUAAUACGGAGGGUGCAAGCGUUAAUCGGAAUUACUGGGCGUAAAGCGCACGCAGGCGGUCUGUCAAGUCGGAUGUGAAAUCCCCGGGCUCAACCUGGGAACUGCAUUCGAAACUGGCAGGCUUGAGUCUUGUAGAGGGGGGUAGAAUUCCAGGUGUAGCGGUGAAAUGCGUAGAGAUCUGGAGGAAUACCGGUGGCGAAGGCGGCCCCCUGGACAAAGACUGACGCUCAGGUGCGAAAGCGUGGGGAGCAAACAGGAUUAGAUACCCUGGUAGUCCACGCCGUAAACGAUGUCUACUUGGAGGUUGUGCCCUUGAGGCGUGGCUUCCGGAGCUAACGCGUUAAGUAGACCGCCUGGGGAGUACGGCCGCAAGGUUAAAACUCAAAUGAAUUGACGGGGGCCCGCACAAGCGGUGGAGCAUGUGGUUUAAUUCGAUGCAACGCGAAGAACCUUACCUGGUCUUGACAUCCACAGAACUUUCCAGAGAUGGAUUGGUGCCUUCGGGAACUGUGAGACAGGUGCUGCAUGGCUGUCGUCAGCUCGUGUUGUGAAAUGUUGGGUUAAGUCCCGCAACGAGCGCAACCCUUAUCCUUUGUUGCCAGCGGUCCGGCCGGGAACUCAAAGGAGACUGCCAGUGAUAAACUGGAGGAAGGUGGGGAUGACGUCAAGUCAUCAUGGCCCUUACGACCAGGGCUACACACGUGCUACAAUGGCGCAUACAAAGAGAAGCGACCUCGCGAGAGCAAGCGGACCUCAUAAAGUGCGUCGUAGUCCGGAUUGGAGUCUGCAACUCGACUCCAUGAAGUCGGAAUCGCUAGUAAUCGUGGAUCAGAAUGCCACGGUGAAUACGUUCCCGGGCCUUGUACACACCGCCCGUCACACCAUGGGAGUGGGUUGCAAAAGAAGUAGGUAGCUUAACCUUCGGGAGGGCGCUUACCACUUUGUGAUUCAUGACUGGGGUGAGUC
Molecule: ribosomal RNA, 1475 nt
Filed under: Salmonella enterica subsp. enterica serovar Typhimurium
Lineage: Bacteria; Pseudomonadati; Pseudomonadota; Gammaproteobacteria; Enterobacterales; Enterobacteriaceae
Description: bacterial SSU rRNA
Rfam family: Bacterial small subunit ribosomal RNA
Source: RNAcentral